UUUUAUGGAGAGUUUGAUCCUGGCUCAGGAUGAACGCUGGCGGCGUGCCUAAUACAUGCAAGUCGAGCGAACGGACGAGAAGCUUGCUUCUCUGAUGUUAGCGGCGGACGGGUGAGUAACACGUGGAUAACCUACCUAUAAGACUGGGAUAACUUCGGGAAACCGGAGCUAAUACCGGAUAAUAUUUUGAACCGCAUGGUUCAAAAGUAAAAGACGGUCUUGCUGUCACUUAUAGAUGGAUCCGCGCUGCAUUAGCUAGUUGGUAAGGUAACGGCUUACCAAGGCAACGAUGCAUAGCCGACCUGAGAGGGUGAUCGGCCACACUGGAACUGAGACACGGUCCAGACUCCUACGGGAGGCAGCAGUAGGGAAUCUUCCGCAAUGGGCGAAAGCCUGACGGAGCAACGCCGCGUGAGUGAUGAAGGUCUUCGGAUCGUAAAACUCUGUUAUUAGGGAAGAACAUAUGUGUAAGUAACUG
Molecule: ribosomal RNA, 478 nt
Filed under: Staphylococcus aureus
Lineage: Bacteria; Bacillati; Bacillota; Bacilli; Caryophanales; Staphylococcaceae
Description: bacterial SSU rRNA
Rfam family: Bacterial small subunit ribosomal RNA
Source: RNAcentral